UGAGGAAUAUUGGUCAAUGGGCGGAAGCCUGAACCAGCCAUCCCGCGUGAAGGAAGAAGGCCUUAUGAGUUGUAAACUUCUUUUCUGUUUGAAGAAUAAGCUUGUCGUGACAAGUGAUGCCGGUAGGACAGGAAUAAGCAUCGGCUAACUCCGUGCCAGCAGCCGCGGUAAUACGGAGGAUGCAAGCGUUAUCCGGAUUUAUUGGGUUUAAAGGGUGCGCAGGUGGUUUAAUAAGUCAGUGGUGAAAAUCUGCCGCUUAACGGUAGGAUUGCCAUUGAUACUGUUGGACUUGAAUAUGGAUGAGGUAGGCGGAAUGUGUAGUGUAGCGGUGAAAUGCUUAGAUAUUACACAGAACACCGAUUGCGAAGGCAGCUUACUAAUCCAUGAUUGACGCUGAGGCACGAAAGCGUGGGGAUCAAACAG
This 423-nucleotide ribosomal RNA is filed under the name uncultured bacterium. Its description in RNAcentral is "bacterial SSU rRNA". It matches the Rfam family "Bacterial small subunit ribosomal RNA", at positions 355 to 775 of the family's 1533-position model. The record is from RNAcentral.